RNAcentral lists this microRNA precursor (84 nucleotides) under Rhodnius prolixus. RNAcentral describes it as "microRNA miR-3742 precursor". The record is from RNAcentral. Lineage: Eukaryota; Metazoa; Arthropoda; Insecta; Hemiptera; Reduviidae.
UACAUUUCUGUAUCUUUGCGCUAUUUUGGUUAGCCAGAGUCUCCACUGGAAAGAAUCAAAUAUAUUUUAAAGUACGGAAAUAAA